Brachypodium distachyon (stiff brome) is the source of this 125-nucleotide non-coding RNA. The record is from Rfam. Lineage: Eukaryota; Viridiplantae; Streptophyta; Magnoliopsida; Poales; Poaceae.
AUUAUACUCCCUCUGUCCCAUAUUAAGUGACUCAAGUUGUCUAAAAAUGGACGUAUCUAUAUACUAAAAUACGUCUAGAUACAUGUAAUAUUUCGGCACUUAAUAUGGGACGGAGGGAGUAUAUA